RNAcentral lists this long non-coding RNA (312 nucleotides) under Eucalyptus grandis. Its description in RNAcentral is "long non-coding RNA (EGRA_LNC000693)". Lineage: Eukaryota; Viridiplantae; Streptophyta; Magnoliopsida; Myrtales; Myrtaceae. The record is from RNAcentral.
GCACUGAUUGAAGAUCAGCUCAAGCUCAUUUUGGAGGCCUAUUCUCAUUCUACUGAGAAGUAGGUUGUGGGCUUCAGGUUUUUUGAUGGGUGGUAUAGCAUUCUAACAAUGCUGUUUUGUGCACCAUGGUUCUAAUGACUAUUUUUGCUCAUUUUGUAUAUCUUUUUCAGGCUCCAGGCAUUUUGAUGGGUGGCGUAGUGUUCUAACAAUGCCUUCAGGUGUCUAUUUCGAUCAUUUUGUAUACCACUUUCUGGAGCCCUAAUCUGAUGUAAAGUUAUAUUAGACGAAUUAGAAGGGAUGCAAUUGGAAGUA